This 246-nucleotide long non-coding RNA is filed under the name Ananas comosus (pineapple). Its description in RNAcentral is "long non-coding RNA (ACOM_LNC011206)". Lineage: Eukaryota; Viridiplantae; Streptophyta; Magnoliopsida; Poales; Bromeliaceae. The record is from RNAcentral.
GGAGAAGAAAAUUAAGGAGCACGUGCGUGGGAGCCAGAGGCCCAGAGUCGAUCGUAUGCGUGGACCCCUUAGGGUUGAGUGAGUGGUCGGUUGAAUAGUAUAAUCUAACGAGCAAAAAUAAUUAAAGGGAUUAGUCUAACGGCAAAAAACUUGAUAGCACCAAGUGUUUGGUGCUAUCGAUAGCACAGCAGCCGAACUCUAUAUAUAUUAAUUAAUGUGGAGCAGCGGUGGAAGGUUAAUUAUAGG